Molecule: transfer RNA, 73 nt
Filed under: Solirubrobacter ginsenosidimutans
Lineage: Bacteria; Bacillati; Actinomycetota; Thermoleophilia; Solirubrobacterales; Solirubrobacteraceae
Also listed under: 2 other names
Description: Solirubrobacter sp. BXN5-15 tRNA
Rfam family: tRNA
About the family: Transfer RNA (tRNA) molecules are approximately 80 nucleotides in length. Their secondary structure includes four short double-helical elements and three loops (D, anti-codon, and T loops).
Source: Rfam by way of RNAcentral
GGGGCUAUAGCUCAGCUGGGAGAGUGCCUGGAUCGCACCCAGGAGGUCGCCGGUUCGAGCCCGGCUAGCUCCA